This 165-nucleotide small RNA is filed under the name Paenibacillus mucilaginosus. RNAcentral's name for it is "c-di-AMP sequence". It matches the Rfam family "c-di-AMP riboswitch aptamer (ydaO/yuaA leader)". From Rfam's summary of the family: This family represents a conserved RNA structure found upstream of the ydaO and yuaA genes in Bacillus subtilis and related genes in other bacteria. The ydaO/yuaA element is thought to act as a genetic "off" switch for the ydaO and yuaA genes in its native state. Lineage: Bacteria; Bacillati; Bacillota; Bacilli; Caryophanales; Paenibacillaceae. The record is from RNAcentral. RNAcentral also lists the same sequence under 1 other name.
AUUCAUAUUUCGCUGAAUUUCCGUUCAAGGAAAACGGGGGAACCAUUGGGACGAAGCCGCUUCGUCAUGGGGUGAAUCAGCACAGCCUGCAACAGGCGCCGCUGUAGGGCGACUCUAACGCCCGAAUCCGUCAGCUAACCUCGUAAGCGUAUUUAGAGAAGGUGA